UGAGGUGGAGCUAAUCCCAAAAAGCUGGUCUCAGUUCGGAUCGUGGUCUGCAACUCUACCUCGGGAGGUGGGAGUCGCUAGUAAUCGCAGAUCAGCACCGCUGCGGUGAAUACGUUCCCGGGCCUUGCACACCCGCCCGAAGUCAGAAAGUUGUUCCCCGAAGCCGGGGCCGCCCCCGGGGGGGACCCUUAUGGUGACCUAGAAGAGUCGAGCUGAGACAGUGC
RNAcentral lists this ribosomal RNA (224 nucleotides) under Kocuria sp. B-WPhS12. RNAcentral's name for it is "partial 16S ribosomal RNA". The stretch from base 1 to 131 matches the Rfam family "Bacterial small subunit ribosomal RNA", at positions 1258 to 1387 of the family's 1533-position model. Lineage: Bacteria; Bacillati; Actinomycetota; Actinomycetes; Micrococcales; Micrococcaceae. The record is from RNAcentral.